AAAAAAUCAGACAAAAA
This 17-nucleotide small RNA is filed under the name Arabidopsis thaliana (thale cress). Its description in RNAcentral is "ATSL126000". Lineage: Eukaryota; Viridiplantae; Streptophyta; Magnoliopsida; Brassicales; Brassicaceae. The record is from RNAcentral.